CUGAGAUCUUAGGUAAAUCCGGGAUCUUAAGGCCGAGAGCUGAUGACGAGCUAACUUUUAGUUAGCGAAGUGGUUGAUGCCAUGCUUCCAAGAAAAGCUUCUAAGCUUCAGGUAACCAGGAAUCGUACCCCAAACCGACACAGGUGGGCGGGUAGAGAAUACCAAGGCGAUCGGGAGAACUAUGGUUAAGGAACUCGGCAAAUUACAUCCGUAACUUCGGGAGAAGGAUGACCCUUUCCGGUGAACGUCUUCUCGACGCGAGCUGGCGAGGGUGGCACAGACCAGGGGGUAGCGACUGUUUACCAAAAACACAGCAGCGUGCGAAGCCGUAAGGCGCUGUAUACGCUGUGACGCCUGCCCAAUGCUGGAAGGUCACGGGGAACGGUUAGUCGAAAGGCGAAGCUGUGAACCUAAGCCCCAGUGAAUGGCGGCGGUAACUAUAACCGUCCUAAGGUAGCGAAAUUCCUUGUCGGGUAAGUUCCGACCUGCACGAAUGGUCUAAUGAGUUGAACACUGUCUCCUCCACGAGCCCGGUGAAAUUGUAGUAUCGGUGAAGAUGCCGGUUACCCGUCACGGGACGGAAAGACCCCAUGAACCUUCACUACAACUUUGCAUUGAUUUUGAGCACCAAGUGUGUAGGAUAGUUGGGAGACUAUGAAGCAGUGUCGCCAGGCAUUGUGGAGUCAUCGUUGAAAUACCAACCUCUUGUUGCUUAGAACCUAACCCCUACAGGGGGACAUUGCAUGGUGGGUAGUUUGACUGGGGUGGUCGCCUCCUAAAAAGUAACGGAGGCUCGCAAAGGUACCCUCAGUACGGUUGGUAAUCGUACGUAGAGCGCAUUAGUAUAAGGGUGCUUGACUGUGAGACAGACAAGUCGAUCAGGUGCGAAAGCAGGCUAAAGUGAUCCGGUGGUUCUGUAUGGAAGGGCCAUCGCUCAACGGAUAAAAGGUACGCCGGGGAUAACAGGCUGAUGACCCCCAAGAGUCCAUAUCGACGGGGUUGUUUGGCACCUCGAUGUCGACUCAUCGCAUCCUGGGGCUGGAGCAGGUCCCAAGGGUAUGGCUGUUCGCCAUUUAAAGAGGUACGUGAGCUGGGUUUAAAACGUCGUGAGACAGUUUGGUCCCUAUCUUCCGUGGGCGCUGCAAGAUUGAGAGAGCCUGCUCCUAGUACGAGAGGACCGGAGUGGACGCACCUCUGGUGUAUCGGUUGUCACGCCAGUGGCAUUGCCGAGUAGCUAAGUGCGGAAGAGAUAACCGCUGAAAGCAUCUAAGC
RNAcentral lists this ribosomal RNA (1272 nucleotides) under Vampyroteuthis infernalis. RNAcentral's name for it is "bacterial LSU rRNA". It matches the Rfam family "Bacterial large subunit ribosomal RNA", at positions 1525 to 2786 of the family's 2925-position model. The record is from RNAcentral. Lineage: Eukaryota; Metazoa; Mollusca; Cephalopoda; Vampyromorpha; Vampyroteuthidae.